AGCAGAGUGGCUUAAUUUAGCACGUUCGCUAACGUACAGUGUUUUCUGGCAGCGUGUAAGUGAAGCUGUCGGUCACAGCUGAUGGAGAUAGUGCUGUGAUUUCCUCGUUUAUCUCGGUGUUCACUCAGAAAGCACGUUGGCUUCUGGGUUUCUUGGUGUGUGUGUGUGUGUGUGUCUAGCCUGCUAACUGCAUCGCCGGCUGUAAGUCUGGCGUGGCACUGGGAGUUCAAACUAUGAGAUCGCAUUUUCUACUAUCAAAACUUUACACUGCACCAAUUCUGAUGUGAAAACUUAAAAAACAAUAACAA
Carassius carassius (crucian carp) is the source of this 308-nucleotide long non-coding RNA. RefSeq lists it as uncharacterized. Lineage: Eukaryota; Metazoa; Chordata; Actinopteri; Cypriniformes; Cyprinidae. The record is from RefSeq and is a predicted model, not a curated record. The transcript has 2 exons.